CCUGGCGGCAGUAGCGCGGUGGUCCCACCUGACCCCAUGCCGAACUCAGAAGUGAAACGCCGUAGCGCCGAUGGUAGUGUGGGGUCUCCC
This 90-nucleotide ribosomal RNA is filed under the name Escherichia coli. RNAcentral also lists the same sequence under 3 other names. The record is from RNAcentral. Lineage: Bacteria; Pseudomonadati; Pseudomonadota; Gammaproteobacteria; Enterobacterales; Enterobacteriaceae.